AUCCUAUACAGAUGUAUUCAACGCUAGCCAGUUGAGCAUUUCCCUUUAGGAUUAAGUUUAUCAGAAGCUCUGACAACAACUCUUAUUGUGUGGCUGUGGCGCUGUGGUUACAGUUGAAAUGGGAUGAGUUAGGGUGGAAUAGGUUAACCGUAAGACCUUGGGUUGAAAAAUUCUAAAUUGGAGCUAGAGAUAUGGAUUUCUUAAAUUUUGUAUUUUCUGGUUACGGCGAG
Molecule: non-coding RNA, 230 nt
Filed under: unclassified sequences
Description: IS605-orfB-I RNA
Rfam family: IS605-orfB-I RNA
Source: Rfam by way of RNAcentral